Molecule: ribosomal RNA, 253 nt
Filed under: uncultured bacterium
Lineage: Bacteria
Description: partial 16S ribosomal RNA
Rfam family: Bacterial small subunit ribosomal RNA
Source: RNAcentral
UACGUAGGGUGCAAGCGUUAAUCGGGAUUACUGGGCGUAAAGCGUGCGCAGGCGGCUUUGCAAGACAGAUGUGAAAUCCCCGGGCUUAACCUGGGAAUGGCAUUUGGGACUGCAAGGCUUGAGUGCGGCAGAGGAGACUGGAAUUCCUGGUGUAGCAGUGAAAUGCGUAGAUAUCAGGAGGAACACCGAUGGCGAAGGCAGGUCUCUGGGCUGACACUGACGCUCAUGCACGAAAGCGUGGGGAGCAAACAGG